CAUUCACGGAGAGUUUGAUCCUGGCUCAGGACGAACGCUGGCGGCGUGCUUAACACAUGCAAGUCGAACGAUGAAGCCC
Molecule: ribosomal RNA, 79 nt
Filed under: Streptomyces cinnamoneus
Lineage: Bacteria; Bacillati; Actinomycetota; Actinomycetes; Kitasatosporales; Streptomycetaceae
Description: partial 16S ribosomal RNA
Rfam family: Bacterial small subunit ribosomal RNA
Source: RNAcentral